UGGAUAGUUAGGUAUUCUGGAAUUAGUCUUUAUGCUAGAUUCUGGAAUAUGAUUGAUUGUGUUAAUUUGCGAUUAAUACUAGGAACCUUGUGUUAUUUUUAUCGGGUUUAGUAUUAAUCAUAUUUUGGCCAUAUAGCAUUUGUGUAACCCACAAUGCUAGGCAUGUUUGAGGUGGAAUGUGUUGAUUGUGUGGUGAUUAAUACUAGGAACCUUGUGUUAUUUUUAUCGGGUUUAGUAUUAAUCAUAUUUUGGCCAUAUAGCAUUUGUGUAACCCACAAUGCUAGGCAUGUUUGAGGUGGAAUGUGUUGAUUGUGUGGUGAUUAAUACUAGGAACCUUGUGUUAUUUUUACCGGGUUUAGUAUUAAUCGUAUAUUGGCCGACAGCAUUUGCGUAACCUACAAUGCUAGGCAUAUUGGGGUGAGUUAGUGUUCCUUCAGACCUCGUACCCGGCGGGUUCAAGGAAACCCCUUAUUCGCUGGAUCGGGAAGACUUAGACGAACGGGGUCAUGUCCUUUGGCUGAGUAUUACACGACGGUGUAAUGUGGCAGUGACCCGAAGGACUGUGGGCUGUCGCGCGGUGACCCGAAGGACUGUGGGCCGUGGUCGGUUGAAAGUUCCUUCUUCUGGCCUUUGUGGUAAGAAGAUAGGAUAUUGCCGAUAGUGAAGGAGGAACAUAACGUCACCAGGGCCCGAGUUUGUUAUAUAUAUUAUAUCGUGUUUCGGGUUAUUGAACCCUGGUUUAAGUCGAGUUUGAGUUUGGUGUUGAGCUAGUAAUUAGCAUAUUGCUAGUUAACUUACUAUCUUUUUCCAGCUGCGUAUUUCUGAUAUUGUUUAUUGUUAUUGAGUUGUGUUGUUAGGUGAACCUCUCGCUUUAGAUUGUUUGGGGAGGGAUAGCGAGGGGUUGUAUUUGUUAGUUGGGGAUUGUAACUCGCUGAGUAAUGCUAGAUUACUCACUCCUCACUCGUUGUUGUUUCAGGUGACCAGUAGUGAGCUUGUAGAGGUCGCGGGAGGCUAGGCUGGCUGGUGUAGAUUUGCAUCUUUUUGCUUAAGAUGCUUUCAGACUAUAAGUAUGUACUUUCGCUUUCUUGGCAUGCCACCACUUAUAUAAUAUUUUGUGUAUUGUAACCAGAUAUUAUAUAAGAUAAAUAAAGCGAAUGUUUUGUGCAAAUGCCUUGUUGUUCUGAUAUUAGCUUGUCCGAGCUAACACAACGUCAGAUCGGAGUACGAGUUGAGAAGCAUUAGGCUUUGGUCUGACGGGACGUGUUAGUGGGCGGCCUGGCCUAGUUACGAAUUGCACUUUUUGUAACUUUGGCUGGAUUACCCGUUAACCCGUCAUGUAGCGCUCCCGAAUCUCGGUAGACGGUCGGGUCAUCUGUCAUGUUCUUGUUUGAUUGUUGGCCGGUGGUUCGACCUAUGCCUAGAACGGUUCGGGGGUGUUACAGAGGUGGUAUCAGAGCAUGGUUUCGUCCAUGCAUGACACAAGUGCUUUUUAAUGAUUUUAUCGAGUCGAAGGAGUCGCAAAAAGAUGAUUAGGAAACCAGCCGCUUCCCGUAGUAGGAAUAUGACUUACCCUUUUGAUUGUGUGCAGAUGGCUAAUCGCGGGACAGGUGAUGAUGGACGAGGUCGGAUAUGGUGAGAGGGUAUGGAUUGGACAGGCGGAGGAUUGGGUUACAGAUCUGAUCAAGAGGAUGGAAAUGGCAUUAGUGAGAUGUUUGGACACGAUAGGAGCCCUCUGCAGAGAACAAGAUCUUUUCCUGUGUAUGGUAACAGGACUAGAGUGAGGGAAGACAGUUUGGCGAGUAUUGGCCCAUGUCGUAAUUGGGACCGGAGAGAUUAACAUGAUCAAUCCGUUCAAUCACACCCAAGGCCAGAUCAGAACCGUGCCACUGAAGGACCACAAGAUCAAGGAGCGGAAAACACCCUGAAGCUUUUACAUGACGUGAUGACCGAGGCACUUGGUAACCAAGGCAUGCGUACUCAACCCCCUGAAGUUUCCAAACUAUUAUCAACCAUGAAGAACAUUGGGUCCUACAAGUUCAAAGGAUGAUCUGAUCCUAUUGAAGCCGGCAAGUGGAUUACUAUGAUGGAGAAGAACUUUGAGGCUAUGGAGUGUCCGGAGGAGUAUCAGAAGAAGAUCGCGGUGUACUAUUUGGAAGGCGACACAAAAGGAUGGUGGGACAGUAUAGACAGACAGCGUGGACACACCAUCACAUCAUGGGAAUCGUUCAAGGGAGAGUAUGAGAGGAAGUAUUUUCCUCCAGAAGCAAAGCAUCGGUUGGAGCGCCAAUUCAUGAACCUUGUUCAAGGAGAUAGGCCAAUGAGGAGUUACGAAUCUGAGUUCACAAGGUUGAGGCGACACGUUUUUGAUGGGCGUGAAGAUGAAGCAACUAUGAUCCGUAACUUUAUGUACGGAUUGAAGCCGGAGCUUGGAAGUCGUUUAGCUGGAAGCAACUUUAGCAGCUUAUCGGAUCUGGUGGAAAAAGCUGUUAAUGUUGAGACUGUAUUGGAGGCUGAUAGGAAGACCAUACCGCAUUCUGGUGGACCUACCAAGUUUAGCCAAGGAGGAAGAUCAAAUUUCAACAAGGGUCCAUGGUUUAACAAAGGCAAAGGGAAAAAAUUUGGAGGCCAAACCAAUUAUCGCAGUAACACCGGAGUAUGUUACAUAUUUGAUCAACCGGGACACAUUUCCAAGUUUUGUCCCAACAGACAACGGAGUAAACAGCAAGGUUAUUCAUCGCUGAGGAUGGAAGAUGUCACUUGUUUCUUCUGUGGAAGGAAGGGCCAUUAUGCAUCGUCAUGUCCAAACAAGCCAAUCCCUGCGACCCCUCUCGCGAUCCGAGCUCCUCCUAGCCGUCCAGCUAUUGAGCCAGCACCAAAGAAGCAAAACCUAGGAGGUAGAGUUUAUGCCUUAGGGGUAGAAAACUCAGACAAUGCAGGACCGUCAAGCGGUCCCAUCACAGGUAUUGGGUGCUUAACCUCCUCUGUUUUCUUGAAUGGAAUUUAGUUGUUGGAACCUAGUUAGUAUGCUGGUUAAGUAUAGAUUGCUUGAUAGGUUGCGCGUUUAGAAAUUUUGGAUUGAUGAUUGAUGGUUGUGCGAAUUUUGAUUAGUUUUUGUGAUUGAGAUAUUGUUGAUUGGGUUACUGUGGCAGGAACCAUACAUGUUGCUGGUAAACCCACACAUGUAUUGUUCGACUCGAGGGCAACACAUAGUUUUGUGACCCCUGAAGUAGCUGCCCGGUUUUGGGAUUGUUUUGUGGUUGACAGGAUAAACGUGGCUGUCUUGACCCCCGCAGACCGAACCCUUCAAGCAGAUCAAUGUAUCAAGAAUGUUCCAUUGGUCAUUCAAGAGAAAGAAUUUGUGGCAGAUCUGUUAGUCGUGCCUUUGAAAGGGUACGAAGUAAUCCUUGGAAUGGAUUGGUUAUCGAGCUACAGAGUUCAGAUCGACUGUGGAAAGGGAAGGUUGUUGUUUGGCAGAGGUAAACGAUCAGAGAUGGUAUACUAUGGAAUCAGUCCUAGUAUGACCGUGUCUUUGGUAGCAGCAAUGAGAGUACAAGAUUUGUUUCAAGAUGGGGAAGUAUAUUUGGUGACCUUAUCAGUUAGUGGAGGAGCCACUAAUGAUGAAGUUAAGGUCGAAGACAUAGAAGUGGUUCAAGAGUUUGAGGAUAUCUUUGCACCACUAAAGGAAUUACCUCCACCUCGGAGUAAUCCCUUUACCAUUACUUUGGAUCCUGAAGCAAAACCUAUAGCUAAGGCACCAUAUCGGAUGGCACCAGCGGAGUUGGCUGAGCUAAAGAAGCAAUUGGAAGAUCUAUUGGAAAAGGGAUUCAUCCGAUCGAGCUCUUCACCUUGGGGAGCUCCUGUGCUAUUUGUGAAGAAGAAGGACGGAAGCAUGAGGUUGUGUAUUGAUUAUCGUGGUAUCAACAACAUCACGAUAAAAGAUAAGUAUCCUCUUCCGAGGAUAGACGAGUUGUUAGACCAACUAAAGGGAGCUAGUUGGUUUUCGAAGAUUGAUUUGGCAUCAGGGUAUCACCAAAUUCCUAUUGCCAAGUCAGACAUCAUGAAGACGGCGUUUCGGACGAGGUAUGGGCAGUACGAGUUUGUAGUUAUGCCCUUUGGUCUCACAAACGCACCUGCGGCUUUCAUGCGCCUGAUGAAUGAAGUGUUUCACGACUACCUCGACAAGUUCGUGAUCAUUUUCAUUGACGACAUCCUGGUGUAUUCGAGAAGUAAGGAGGAGCACAAAGAGCAUAUGAGACUGGUUAUGGAGAGGUUACAGAAUCAGAAGCUAUUUGCCAAGUUCAGCAAGUGCUCAUUUUGGAAUAGAGAGAUAGGAUUUCUGGGUCACAUAGUAUCAGGAGAGGGCGUGGCUGCUGAUUCAGAAAAGGUCCAAGCCAUACGGGAAUGGUCUCGACCUACCACUGUGACGGAAGUAAGGAGUUUUCUCAGACUUGCGGGCUAUUAUCGGAAGUUUGUUAAGGACUUUUCCUCCAUUGCAAAGCCUUUAACUAAACUUACCGGUAAAGGAGUUCCUUUCUUAUGGGUGCAAGAAACCGAGAACGCUUUCAAGAAGUUGAAGGAAGCUCUCACGACCGACACCUGUGUUAGCUUUGCCCGAGCAAGGUAAACCUUACACGGUUUACACGGAUGCUUCACGAGUUGGGUUAGGUUGUGUUCUUAUGCAAGAUGGGCGAGUCAUCGGGUAUGCCUCACUACAACUACGGAAGCAUGAGGAUAACUACAGUACACAUGACUUGGAGUUAGCGGCUGUGGUGUUCGCUUUGCGAAUUUGGAGAUCUUACUUGUAUGGAGAAGAAGUAGAGGUAUACACGGACCAUCAAAGUCUUAAAUACCUCUUCACUCAGCCAGAUCUCAACCUGCGCCAGCGUAGGUGGAUGGAGUUUGUGGCAGACUACGAUAUAAGGAUUCGCUACCAUCCUGGUAAAGCGAAUGUUGUUGCGGACGCCUUAAGUCGAAGAAAGUUGGACGCAGAUUUAGAGAAAGAAGUGGAGCUGUUGAACCAAGAAUUGAAACAAGUAAAUUUGGUCGUUUUGGAAGGGAAAGCGAGCGAGCCAUUGGGACUUCAAGCGGUGAACCAGGCCAGCUUGAUUCAGAGAAUUCGAGAAGAACAAAUUAAGGAUGAGAAGCUAUUGAAGAUUGCUGAGGAACUUAAAGGACAAGGUGGGCCAAAUAGUGCUGGAUACUACUUGGCGGAGGAUGGAACCUUGCUAAUUAAUGGGAGGAUCACGGUUCCUAAAGGACAAUGGCUGAGAGAUGAGAUACUAAGGAUUGCUCAUCAUUCUUUACUUAGUAUCCAUCCUGGAAGUUCGAAGAUGUACCAAGACGUGAGAAGAUACUAUCAUUGGCCGGGAAUGAAGAGAUCAGUAGCGCAAUGGGUCGCGCAGUGUGCAACUUGUCAACAAGUCAAGGUCGAACAUCAAGUUCCAGAAGGAUUAUUGCAGAGUCUUCCGAUACCUCAAUGGAAAUGAGACUCUAUUUCCAUGGAUUUCAUCACUGGAUUACCCACUGCUCCAGGUAGAUCGAACAACUCGAUAUGGGUGAUUGUGGAUAGGUUAACCAAGGUUACACACUUGUUGCCUAUGUGGGACACUGAUAAAGUUAAAGUGUUGGCUGAGCUGUACAUCGACGAAAUUGUGAAGUUACAUGGUGUACCCUCAGACAUCGUCUCAGAUCGCGAUCCAAGGGUCACGGCAUCAUUCUGGGAAGCACUGCAAGAAGCCUUGGGAACUAAACUAUUUAGAAGUACGGCGUUCCAUCCAGAAACAGAUGGCCAAACGGAGAGAACCAUUUGGACCAUUGAGGACAUGCUUCGGAUGUGUAUUCUCGAUUGGGCAGGAACUUGGGAGAAGCAUUUACCAUUGGUCGAGUUCUCGUAUAACAACAGUCAUCAUUCGAGCAUAGGGAUGUCACCUUAUGAAGCGUUAUACGGAAGGCCAUGCAAAACACUUAUGUGUUGGACGGAAGUGGGCGAAAGAAGAAUGUUUGGGUCACCUAUCGUUCAGGAGACCAUGAUUAAGUUGGAGACCAUUCAGGCCAACAUGAAGAAGGCUCAGGACCGUCAGAAUAAGUACGCAGACCAGUCAAGAAGAGAGGUAACUUUCGAGAUAGGAGAUUGGGUCUAUUUGAAGGUUACUGCACAGAAAGGGAAGGACAGAUUUGGCAAGGUCGGGAAACUUGCGGUCAGGUUCAUUGAUCCGUACAAGAUCAUCGGGAAAGUUGGUGAGGUAGCUUACCGUUUGGAUCUGCCAGCGGAUAUGCAUCUACAUCCUGUAUUUCAUGUUUCCAUGCUUCGAAAACAUAUACGGGAUCCAAGUAUUGCUGAACCCGAGAGACUAGAGGAGUUGAGGACAAACCUUACGUAUCUGGAAGGACCAAUCAGAUUGGGAGAACGGCGUAUUCGGAAGCUGAAGAAUCGUGAGAUUGCUCAAGUACAAGUGUUCAGGGGAAGACAAAACAGGAUUCAUGUUACUUGGGAUAAUGAAGCGCGAUUUAAAACCGAUCACCCGGAGUUCUUCUGAGAGGAUGUUGUGAUGGAAGAAGGAGGCCCCUCAGAACCUUAGAAUUCGAGGAUGAAUUCUGUUAAGGAUGGGGGGGGGAAGGGGAGAAUGUAGAAACCCAUAAGAAAAAAAAAAAAAUGGUCGAGUAUCUUUUGGGUGGUCGAGUCGCGGACGAUCAGAUUGUUUUUGUCUAAACCAUGAGUCAACUAUCCCACUAGACAAUGGUUAGACAAUGUGGUAUAUUUACUCAAAGGACGUUUGAAGCAUAACACUUUUGGAAGCACAACAGGAAGACCGGAAAUUGGGCGAAAAACCCUAAUUUCGGUAUUAUGGAAUUUUUCGAAGAAGCCGGAAACUCGAGAAAUAUUUUCCAUCAAGUCAGGAUUCAUUUGGAGUUUAUUAAAAAUAAUCAGAUCAUCAGAACGGGCAUCAAAAAAUAUUGGGAUUGAUCGCGGGACGAAAAAUUCACCGGAAAGGCCAAAAUUGGACGAAUGGACCGAGAAGCUCGAGGUGACUCGAUCUAUGAGAUCAGGACGUGGUGGCAACUUCCUGGCAUGGUAUGUGGCAAGAGAAGCAAGAGGUGUUGCAGUAAAAAUGAUCACAGCAUGCGGAGUGACACAUAGAAGCAUGAGGUGGAACGGCCAAGCACGAGGUGUUGCGAUGCAUGCGACCAGGCCAUGCGGCCAGACGUGUGGAGGACGUGGUAUCUCCUUGCAUGGAGCCAGGCCAUGAAUCCAGACAGGUAGAGGGCGUGGUGUCAUCCUGCAUGAGACUGAGACAUGCAGCUAGCCAUGUGGAGCACGAGGUGCCGCCGCGCAUGCGUCCGGAGCCAUGUGAAGCGACACACGGGCUGCCACACUGCUUGUUCCUGAUUGGUUGCUGUUUCCUAUAAAUAGCCCACGACCCUUCUCAUUUGAACACAUUCAGAACACUUGAAAGGCAGUUCAAAACGUGAGAGAGAAAGCAAAGAAAGAAAGAUCGAGUUUCGAUAGUUUUCGAGCGAUUUAGGCAGUUUUCGAGAACUGUUAUUCUGCCGAUUUUGAGUCAGCACCUGGAGAAGGUUCUGUUCAAGUGAAGGGAGAUCAGAUAUAGUGUAUACCAGUUCAAGACCAGUCUGGACGUGGGUCUGCUUGAGAAGGUCGAGAAAGGGUUUGGAUCGCAGAAGUCGGGUUUGGGGUCAAGGCCACGGUCAACCAAAAACUGUGAGUUAUAAUCGAUUGAUUGCUGAGUUAUUUUCAUGCAGGGUCCCGUUAUUUGAAGUUGGAUCAUGGCAGGUGGCCGGAUCUAACUGAGUAACGGUUUGAAUAAUUGAGGUUAUGUUGAUUGAGUUGAUGGCAUGCUUGUUAUUGUUUGAGAACCGUAGUAGCAUGCUAAUGGUUAGAUUGAUUGGUUAGUUAGCGAAUGCGGAAUGCUUAGAUGAUAUCGAUAAGCUGUGGAUAGUUAGGUAUUCUGGAAUUAGUCUUUAUGCUAGAUUCUGGAAUAUGAUUGAUUGUGUUAAUUUGCGAUUAAUACAAGGAACCUUGUGUUAUUUUUACCGGGUUUAGUAUUAAUCAUAUUUUGGCCAUAUAGCAUUUGUGUAACCCACAAUGCUAGGCAUGUUUGAGGUGGAAUGUGUUGAUUGUGUGGUGAUUAAUACUAGGAACCUUGUGUUAUUUUUACCGGGUUUAGUAUUAAUCGUAUAUUGGCCG
This 8203-nucleotide long non-coding RNA is filed under the name Brassica napus (rape). Its description in RNAcentral is "long non-coding RNA (BNAP_LNC015007)". The record is from RNAcentral. Lineage: Eukaryota; Viridiplantae; Streptophyta; Magnoliopsida; Brassicales; Brassicaceae.